GACGAACGCUGGCGGCGUGCCUAAUACAUGCAAGUCGAGCGGACGAAUCGAAAGCUUGCUUUUGAUUCGUUAGCGGCGGACGGGUGAGUAACACGUGGGCAACCUGCCCUGUAGACGGGGAUAACACCGAGAAAUCGGUGCUAAUACCGGAUAACACGAAAUGUCGCAUGACGUUUCGUUGAAAGACGGCGCAAGCUGUCGCUACAGGAUGGGCCCGCGGCGCAUUAGCUAGUUGGUGAGGUAACGGCUCACCAAGGCGACGAUGCGUAGCCGACCUGAGAGGGUGAUCGGCCACACUGGGACUGAGACACGGCCCAGACUCCUACGGGAGGCAGCAGUAGGGAAUCUUCCGCAAUGGACGAAAGUCUGACGGAGCAACGCCGCGUGAGCGAAGAAGGCCUUCGGGUCGUAAAGCUCUGUUGUUAGGGAAGAACAAGUAACGCAGUAACUGGCGUUACCGUGACGGUACCUAACGAGAGAGCCACGGCUAACUACGUG
Molecule: ribosomal RNA, 498 nt
Filed under: uncultured bacterium
Lineage: Bacteria
Description: partial 16S ribosomal RNA
Rfam family: Bacterial small subunit ribosomal RNA
Source: RNAcentral